AACGCUAACGGCGGUCGUGCCCCGCCGCUGCUGUCACCCCCGGCCGCUGCUGCCCUCCCCGCCGAGGUUCUACUGCUCUCGUUCUUGAGAAGAAGGGUGGGAGGCACUCGGUCUCUCCCCACACCUCUCGCCUGAGGCCAGGCGCCAGGUGUCGCCUGAAGCCAGACAGCCGGUUUGGGAGCGAGCCUGAGGUCAACCAAUCAAUGGCUCAGACAGAUAAGCCAACAUGCAUCCCGCCGGAGCUGCCGAAAAUGCUGAAGGAGUUUGCCAAAGCCGCCAUUCGGGCGCAGCCGCAGGACCUCAUCCAGUGGGGGGCCGAGAGAGACCUCCAGAGGCUGCUCAGUAGAUGGAGCUUACACAACAAUCGCUGCGGGCCUGGAUUGAAGUAGCUUUGCACAGAAAACCUCUCAGCUAUGAAAUUGCUCCUUGGACAAACUUGCCUGCUUAAAACUGGGGAACCAGGACUUGAGACAGGAGUUGGAAGAUAACUAGACCUCACGGACCAUUUUCAGACUAUUUUUACUGUUUGAUGAUUCCCUGCUUAGGAGGGUUUCAGUGGGAAAGUGAGAGUGA
RNAcentral lists this small RNA (573 nucleotides) under Pan troglodytes (chimpanzee). Its description in RNAcentral is "processed transcript". The record is from RNAcentral. Lineage: Eukaryota; Metazoa; Chordata; Mammalia; Primates; Hominidae.